GCGGAGGCCCUGGCCCGCCGGCGGGACGAGGAGCGGCGGCUGCAGGAGGAGAGCGAGGCCCGGGAGAAGGCGCGGGCCGAGCAGGAGGAGCUGGAGCGGCUGCAGAGACAGAGGGAAGAGGCCGAGGCCAAGGCGCGCGAGGAGGCCGAGAGGCAGCGCCUGGAGCGGGAGAAGCACUUCCAGCGCGAGGAGCAGGAGCGGCUGGAGCGGAAGAAGGUGAGGGGGGGGGCGCUCGGCAGGCGGUGGGGCCCCGCGCGGGGCCGGGGGCCCCCAGGGCUGCCCACGAGCCCCUCUCUGCCCCGCAGCGCCUGGAGGAGAUCAUGAAGAGGACGCGCAAGUCGGACGCGGCAGAUGCCAAGAAGAAGGAGGACAAGAAGAUGGUGAACGGGAAAGCAGCUGAGCAGGAGGACGUCAAAGGCCCCGAGAAGCGCGCGGGGCCGCUGGCCAAGGAGGAGGAGCUCCCCGAGACGGAGACGCCGAGCGCGGGCACGCCGGGCGCGCAGAAGGGGCCGGCCGGCGAGGGGCUGCAGCCGAGAGGUGCUGUGAGGGCCGAGCCCCCGGCGGACAUCCCCGCGGGGGCCCCCGCGCGCCCGCCAACUCCGGACUCUCACGCAGAACCRUAGCUGUCGUCAGAAGAAAAACCUCGCUGCUCCCCUCCGCCCACCGCCYGCGGGCGGCCCAGGCGGUGCGGGGCCCUGCCGGGGCGGCUCGCGGCCCCCCGCCUGCUCCGGGGACUCCUGGUUUCUCUUUUCAUCCUUGUUUUUAUUUCAUUUCGUUGUUUUUUUUUUUUUAAUAUGCACCUUAUCAGACUGACGCCCCCACUCUAGCAGCCUGCCAGAGCCGCCCCAGACGUGUGGUGUAAUAAUGUAGUUAUUUAACUUGCUGGGUACAAUAUAUGUGAAUACUGUAAAUAAAGCAGGUGAUGCAUCGGGGACGCUCGCCCA
RNAcentral lists this long non-coding RNA (944 nucleotides) under Apteryx rowi (Okarito brown kiwi). RNAcentral's name for it is "lncRNA (ENSARWG00000009449.1)". The record is from RNAcentral. Lineage: Eukaryota; Metazoa; Chordata; Aves; Apterygiformes; Apterygidae.